AAUGAGAAAGGUAAAGAUCAGAAAGGUUGCAGCACAACUCUAAAGCCACUGCUCUUAACUAGGAUUGUCAGGAAAGCAAGAUUAUUUCAGACAGAACAGUAUUGUAUAUGAACAAGGGUGAGAGCAAAUUUAGGAAUGGUUACUAGACCGCUGUAGCUGACCCACAAACCUGGGGAGAAGUGAUAAUAGAGGUUAAGUACUUCUGUGCUUCAGAAAGAUAACCUAUGACUAAAUGGAGAGGCUAGAUUGAAGAGAGGAAUAAAGAAGAUUCAGUGGCUGCAGUGUAUGAACUAUUUGUGACAUUGGUCUGAAACUAAUUUGUCAGCACCAAAGACAGCAUAAGAGCCAUCAGUCCUUCAGCCUCUCCUGGAUCUCUUUUUGAGAUAGGAAGAGCCACAUGUUUUAUAGGCUGUGGUUUAAUUAGCAGGCGCAAUCCAUCUGCCAAAGUUGGCAGGCAUCUUUAGGGAAAAUAACUUCCUCCUGUGGCUUCUCCUUCCUUCUGUUCUGGAAGCAUCAGGAUUGUUGCAGUUUUGCAGGCCUUCUGCAUAGCUGUUAAUAUCACAUGCCAUCAUUCAAAGCAAAUGGAAAAAAGGCCUGGCAUGACUGAAACCCUAAAAUUGAAGUGGAUGCUAAGUGAAUUCAAGACAUCUCUUCUUUACUCCUUUGGUUUUCAAGUAACUCCAAGCAUGAGAGGGGCUAAUGAAUACGGCAAAUCAGAGCCCCACCCUUCUCAGAAAAGGAGGAAGUGAAAGAAAGGCAGCAAUAAAGGUAGAUGGAGGGAAAGGAACUGUGAUUAUGGUUCUGAAGCGAUUUUUACUCAGAAUAUGUAAACUAGAACAGCACAGUGUUUUCUCCUUUUCUACAUCUCAGCCUACUCCACUUCAAAAAGCUCUCGUGAAGGUAAGGUGCUACUCUUUUGUUCUUAUACAUUAGAGACGUUAUUUAACAAACAUUUAUUUAACAUGUGCUACACAGACAAAAUUGUAGCAUUCUAAA
Molecule: non-coding RNA, 996 nt
Organism: Callithrix jacchus (white-tufted-ear marmoset)
Lineage: Eukaryota; Metazoa; Chordata; Mammalia; Primates; Cebidae
Source: RefSeq, a predicted model, not a curated record